RNAcentral lists this ribosomal RNA (305 nucleotides) under Streptomyces sp. PanSC19. RNAcentral describes it as "partial 16S ribosomal RNA". It matches the Rfam family "Bacterial small subunit ribosomal RNA", at positions 1235 to 1533 of the family's 1533-position model. The record is from RNAcentral. Lineage: Bacteria; Bacillati; Actinomycetota; Actinomycetes; Kitasatosporales; Streptomycetaceae.
CGGUACAAAGAGCUGCGAUGCCGUGAGGCGGAGCGAAUCUCAAAAAGCCGGUCUCAGUUCGGAUUGGGGUCUGCAACUCGACCCCAUGAAGUCGGAGUUGCUAGUAAUCGCAGAUCAGCAUUGCUGCGGUGAAUACGUUCCCGGGCCUUGUACACACCGCCCGUCACGUCACGAAAGUCGGUAACACCCGAAGCCGGUGGCCCAACCCCUUGUGGGAGGGAGCUGUCGAAGGUGGGACUGGCGAUUGGGACGAAGUCGUAACAAGGUAGCCGUACCGGAAGGUGCGGCUGGAUCACCUCCUUUCU